GGGUCAGUAGGUUGGUCGUGCCACCGGUACGUACUGGUCUCACUGAUUACUCCUUCCUGAAGAACCGUAAUGCCAUUAAUCUGGUGUUGCGGGGAAACAGGACUGUUACUUUGAAAAAAUUAGAGUGUUUAAAGCAAGCUAACGCUUGAAUACAUUAGCAUGGAAUAAUGAAAUAGGACGAUCGAUCCUAUUUUGUUGGUUUCUAGGAUUGACGUA
This 216-nucleotide ribosomal RNA is filed under the name Glomeromycotina sp. Its description in RNAcentral is "partial small subunit ribosomal RNA". The stretch from base 40 to 216 matches the Rfam family "Eukaryotic small subunit ribosomal RNA", at positions 686 to 864 of the family's 1831-position model. Lineage: Eukaryota; Fungi; Glomeromycota. The record is from RNAcentral.